GACAACAGAUUGUACCACUUAACAAUAACGUAAUGAAAUAAUCACAAACUGCAACAGGUUCCUGUCUGCUCCACUGCUGUUGGGGUGCUGGUGGUGGCCCUUUGUGACACGGCACAUGGUGUCAUGGCCCUUUGUGAUGUGGGACGUGGUGGUGGCCAGAGACUCUUGUGACAUCAGGGAGCUCUGCCAGGGCUGAGGGUCUCCAAGGGGUGUGGAGCCCUGGGGUGCUCAUUCCCAGGAUAGCCGCUCUCUGAGGAGGAAGCAGCUCCCUGGCUCUGUCUACGCCAGACACUAACAGUGAUAUCCAUUGGAAGUACCGACAGUGACAGACAACGACAGCAAGGAGGACAAAACACACUCCACCUCCCGGUCCCACAGCUCCUUGCCCAGCUGGCUGGAAGCCACCAGCGAGCCGUGGUCAGGGGCAGUGGGCAGCUCAGUCCUGCCGCUGUCACAGACUGAGAAGGUAGAGAGGAUCUUGGCCAAAAUGGGCCAAAAGCUUUCCCGGAGGGAAGGUGUGAAAGACUCCCAAAAGAGGGAUGUUCCAGGAGCCGAAGAAAUGUCCCAGCGGGGAGACAGGAGCAGCCAAGAGCUGUACCAAGGCCAGAGUCCCACGGAGGCCGAGCCGGCAGCUGCUGCCCCAGCUGGAGAUGCUGAGGAGGAGGAGGAGCCAGGGUCGGCAGUGGCAGAGCUGGCACAGGAAGGUCGCCUGGAGGACUGGAUUUGGGACAGUUUCUCAGAAUCCAGCAGUGAGGAAGAGAGCCCGGUGCCUUCCCCGCACAGCCCCCCCGGCCCCUUGUCUGCCCUGCCGGGAGCCCCAGCCCCCAGGGAAGAGCCGGGCUGGGCAGUGGCAGAGCUGGCACAGGAUGACAGCCUGGAGGCCUGGGUUUGGGGAAGUCUCUGGGAAUCCGACAGUGAGGAAGAG
This 925-nucleotide long non-coding RNA is filed under the name Taeniopygia guttata (zebra finch). RNAcentral describes it as "lncRNA (ENSTGUG00000026584.1)". Lineage: Eukaryota; Metazoa; Chordata; Aves; Passeriformes; Estrildidae. The record is from RNAcentral.